Molecule: ribosomal RNA, 253 nt
Filed under: uncultured bacterium
Lineage: Bacteria
Description: partial 16S ribosomal RNA
Rfam family: Bacterial small subunit ribosomal RNA
Source: RNAcentral
GACGUAGGGCGCGAGCGUUGUCCGGAUUUAUUGGGCGUAAAGCGCACGUAGGCGGCUUUGUAAGUUAGAGGUGAAAGCCCGGGGCUCAACUCCGGAAUUGCCUUUAAGACUGCAUCGCUAGAAUUGUGGAGAGGUAAGUGGAAUUCCGAGUGUAGAGGUGAAAUUCGUAGAUAUUCGGAAGAACACCAGUGGCGAAGGCGACUUACUGGACACAUAUUGACGCUGAGGUGCGAAAGCGUGGGGAGCAAACAGG